AACAAGUCAAGAUAACGGUGUUGGCCUCAGAAGGGUGCACUGUGGGCACAUUUGCUUUCUGUGAGUAACUCCUGAAUGAGAAAAAAGUGUAACCAUAAGCUAGAAGUCCCUGAAGGCAACCCAAGCCCCAGCGGGAGGGGUGCCUCUCUCAGGUGCUGUUACACUCACUGUCAGAUCCAAGCAGGAGAACUGUGAUGCACACACAAUGCUGCCAUAGGAAUCACCAGUGGCACAAAACAACAAACAACCGGCAAGAUCGCCUAGUAUGGAAGAAACCAACUGUAGAGCCAAAUUGUGCAGGUUCUGGCUUAGUGUGUCAUCUAGUAGCUACCUAACCCUGGAGAUGUCCUUAACUUCUCCGUGUACCAAUAUCUAUAAAGUGAAGAUAAUUAGAGUUUCUCAGAGGCUGUUAAGACCUGCGUUAAUCCUGGAGUGGCCCUUAGAAGAGUGCCUGCCACACAGUAAGACUACAGUUUUUACCUGUUUAGUUACAUCUGUUCAUUAGCACAACACACAAAAAAUGAUUCAUUACAGAUUAUUCAAAGCCAGAUGCUAUUAUAAUUUCUUCCUGAUUUCAUCUUAUAGAAUUAUGAGCAUCCAUAGCAACUGAACUGGUUAUAAGUUUGGAGAAGUUUGUCUCCAAUGAGGGUCAUUUAAAUGAGAGAAUUCAUCAUUCAUUCUUAAUAGAAGCCCACAGAAUGAAUUUAAAAUCUCAAUCAUUAGGGGCUGGAGAGAUGGCUCAGCAGUUAUGAGCACUGGCUGCUCUUCUAGAGGUCCUGAGUUCAAUUCCCAGCAACCACAUGGUGGCUCACAACCAUCUGUAAUAGGAUCAGACGCCCUCUUCUGGUCUGUCUGAAGAGAGUGACAGUGUACUUACAUACAUAAAAUAAAUACAUCUUUUUAAAAAGGGGGAGGGGUGGAAUAGAGGAUUUGCGGAGGGGAAACUGGGAAAGGGGAUAACAUUUGAAAUGCAAAUAAAUAAAAUAACCAAUAAAAAAAGUCUCAGUCAUAGAAAAGAACUUAGUGGCAAAAGGGACCCUGCCUCCCAUAAAAAUAGUUACUUACUGAGAACCUACUCUCCAUCAGACACUGUGCUAGGUACUUUAAGUAAAACAAUCAUUUCUGAAAGCUGCAUAGUUCUAUUCCCAUGGUACCAAUGGGAAUAAUAAUGUACAGAAGCUGGAAAAACCAGGAAGGAAGGCCAAGGCCAAAGGGUGAUAAACGGUGGACCCUGUGCAUCCCAGGAGGGAGGCUGUGAGCUGAUGAAGGGUCUGGAAGCAUUAGCUGUGUCUCCUCUGUGUAAAAUCACACUGAGCACCGUAAGGGACAUGGGGUUGCUUACUGCAGUUCUUUGGUAGAACCUUCUAAACGUGAUAUAAAUUUGCUGAAACACUGGAGGAAGUGUGCCUGUGUGCGCAUCACCAUUGUGCCAAUUAAGGCUGUUCUGGCUUAGGAAAUACUAGGAAGGAGGAAGAGGAUAGCCUGCAGCCCAGAGCAUCUCUUUCAGCUGGCAUAUCAAUGGAACAGGGGUAGCUUAUUCACUUUGCAAAUGAAAUUCUGAAAGAAAGAGCAAAUGAAUUCUUCAAGUGUUGUCUAUCCAAUCAUUCUGGAAUCAAGGAGGACGAUUGUGCAACUGACCAGGGUCUGACCAGGUGCCCAUGCUGAAGCUGAUGGUUGGCAGCCAUCCUUAUAGGAGAAAACAUCCCAAGGCUUUAGGAAUACAUUCCCUGUCCCCUGUCUCCAGUGGUCAGAUAGCCCCAGGCCUUUCACAAGUAGAUGUCAUUGGGUCUUCCUUUCAUGUUGUAGAUAAGGAAACCAAAGAUCUGAGUGUUGUUCAGGGUCUAAGGCAGGAGUAAGGCAGGAGCUGAGAUGGGUUGGUGUCCAGCCUAUUUCCAUUUGUAAAGUCAGUCACCAUGUACAACUCAGAGAGGGAACAGACAUAGGUGGCCCAUCACUGUGUUCUCAGCUGUGCCCUAGGUGGCCUGCCUUGCCUUAGACUCCACUCCGCGCUGGGCUCAUCUGCUCUACAUGAUCUCUAGCCAAGAAAGGAAAACAAGAAGGGGAGGAAUUUAGGAGGGAAGGCCGCCACAAACCCAGAGACAAGAAUUGUAGAGGAUGCCUGCUGUUCCUCUGCUCUCCAGCCCUCUAAUGCCAGCACUUAGAUUUUAGCCAUCCCCAGUCUAGGGUGACAACUGUCAUCUUGAACUCCAGGUCCUCUCCCCCCCCCCCAGAGAUGAUAAACUGGUUGACAAGGCACCCCUCAGCAGAGAGUAAAAGCCAAAGCUCUCACCUGUCUGAGAGUUGUCCCCGGAGUCACGAUGAAUCCGGUGAAUCUAGAGACGGUGCAAAGUUCGGUAAAAAGAGAAAGAAAUGUAUGUCAUUUGUCUCCUUCGGCAACUUAGUUAAAAAAAAAAAAAAAAAAAAGCCCUGACGGCCUCCAGAAAGCAAGGUGUUGCACAGAUUGCGUGAAAAGAUGAAAGACACACACACACACACACACUCACACACACACAUUGAGUGUAAGACCACAAAUGCUCUAAAGCCUUCAGACACUUGGUCAGGAGCCCAAGAGCAGAAAGUGCCCGAGGGAGGGGCUCUCCAGGCAGAUUCUACCUCCAGCUAGCCUCUUCUUGACAGUCUGUAGAAAUGCAGAAAGACAAAGGCCAGAACUCAAGUCAAACUUUAAUAAGCCAUACUGUAACUUGCUUGUAUCAGGCAAGGCUAUAUUUGUUUUUCUGAAAGGCUGAGUUAAAUCGAAAAUUUCUGUUUUUGGAACCGUUCCUUAAAGGCUUUUUAAACACUCCUCCAUUGCCGACAGAGUCAACUGUCCCCUCACGAGGCCUGUACUUCGGAUGCUGUUUAGCACCUAGUUCUUUCUCAUUAUCGGGUUUGUUUCAUGCUAAUGAUUUGGUGCAGAUGUUCGAUAGACAUCCAUCAAAGGGCCAAAUGAAGUCAUCAGCACUAGAAAGAAUAUCCGCGUUCUCGGUGGACUCUGCGUUUCUUGCGUGUACAAUUGACUAAGGCACUGCUGGUGGGCACGUGGCCAUUUGUACUUAGAAUCUCACGGUUUCUCUGCUAAAUCCAUCUGCUUCCAUCCAGGGCUCAGGGCCGUCAACCUGUGCAGCGCUCAGUGAAGAGGCAAGGUUAAGUUUAUCAAAGCAGGUGAAUGGGGGUGGGGGGGGGACUGUCAGUUAAAGACUAGCGUGACUUAGCAACAUCAACUAUGAUGGCCUGAAAGCUCCCUUAUUUAUGUCAGACACAGGUAAAACAGGCUUCAUGGAACCAUUGACGAAUCAGGUAGAGUCUGGGGAGAUGGCUCCAUUGGGGAAGUGGCUGCCCCAUGAAGCCUGAGCUCAGAUCUCUAGGUUCCAUGUAAAAAUCUAGGUGUGGUGACAUUUAUCUGUAAUUCAGUGCUUCGGGGUAGAGAGAGGCGAAUUCCUACAGCCCACUGGCCGGUUCAGUCCGGUUGAACCAUUAAACUCUAGGUUCGGUGAGAAGACUUGACUCAAACAAAUGCGGUAGGGAGUGACUGAGGAAGACACCCCAUGUUAACCUCUGGCCUCCACGUGUACCUGCACGUGAAUCUGCAUGCACACACGCGUGCACACGCUCACCUGAUCAUGCACACAAACACAUGAAGAUAGCCAAGUAAAUCUGAGCUUCUAGAACUAGGCUUCCUACAAGCCCUUCUGCUCGCCCAUUUCACUUCCUCACACAACAUCAAUACAAAGCCCUCCACGCACCUUCGAUAUCAUGGUCACCUUAGUCAGGGCUUGUGAUUCUCACCUCAAAAUUACUGUAUCUUUUCUUAUUUCUUGCAUGAGCAUCAUUUUAUAUUUUCCUUCUGGAGUAAAGACCAUUUUCUACAAACCUACUAAGGUCAAAUGCACAUUUUUAUAUGUUCAAUAUUAAUGUUUCAUUCUGUCAAUCAGAUCUGGCUUAAAAGCUUUUCUCUUUAAUCAAAAUAUAUAUACCUCUAGGAGCAGAGCCUAUGACUUCCCAUGCUAUGAAAAUAAUCAACGGUAAUAAGCCCACCUCUGCAUCAACUCCCUUUUCCCGCUUCUCAUAGGCUCACACACAGGUCAUCAAUAUGGCUCCCAUGACCUAUACUGUGGGCCAUGCGUUCUGUCAGGAGUGGAGUUCUCUCAGCCCUGAUUUAGGAUUUAAAAUGUGUUCCAUCCACUGAUAGGGGUGGAGAGGGGUGGACCAGGGAGGGAGAACACAGGCAUUUGUCCAUGCCCUGGGAUGUCUCUGGCCCAUCUUUUCCCACAUUUGUUGUUGCCCUUGGUACUUUGAGAUGAAUUUGCUGCCUCUACAUCAGCACAGUGGCUUCAGCUGGGCUCUGUACCUUCUGCCAGAGCAGUGGCCAGAGGUUAUCCAGACUUUACAGCCAGAGUCUCGCAGGCUGGGUCAGCCUCUACACCAGGAGGCUACAUUGUGACCCACUUCACAAUCCUCUGUUCAUAGGACAACUGGGAGCCCUGCCUCCCAUCGCAUCCUACCAGUCUUGGGUUUUUCAUGUAAUUCUCUGAUGAUAACCAACAUGCCUCAUCCGAGUAUCCACACAUGGUGGUAAAAUCCCCACUCAGAAAAAGAGUUUAUUCCCAAGAUCUAAAAGUACAAAUUUUAUAUCUCAGUAGAAAUUAUUCCAAAAAGAUUAACCUUUAGUGGAACUCAUGGAGAAUGCGGGCAACGAUUAGGUAGCUCCAUAGUCUCUGAUGGGUCCGGGAGACGCUCAGAGACUUGAGCAUCUAGGGGUGAUGUUUGCCCCAUGACAGCAGCUGUUUUGCAUGCUAGCUGAGUGCUGGCAGCUUGAAAGCUUGCAAUUGUGGCUUUACAACCCUUCCAGAGAAGCGACCAUUUCCUUGGACAUGCAGGACGGGGAGGCUGAGCUUAAAGUUUGGUAUCCUGCCUAUGUCACCCCACUGGUAAUGCAUAGAACUGUAACCCCGCUUUCUUCUCUAGUCUGAGAGCCAAUCAGCUUGGUUACAAGCCUCUUCAGCCAAAGCCUCAGAAGUGUUGUCCCAGUCCUGGCUUGUCAUUGUAGGGCCUGAAAAUACCUCGCUGAUCAGCACAGCUUUCCCCCUGAAUUCUGGGGAGGCACAUACUUUGUCAUGUGUGUGCUUUAGCAAAACCAGGAGUCACCAUCCUCAGGCCUCUCACUUUCUCUAGAGCACAGUGGUUUUCUUCUUGAAAAGCUUUAAAUGCUGUGUGUCCCAGUGUAGGGAGGCCUGUGUACAACAGCUGCUACCACCAGACCCACAGGCUUUAAAAGAAGUAGUUUCUGCAGAGAACUCUACUGUCCUUGGCCUGUGAAACUGUCAGAGCUCAGAGAUGUGAUUUCUUUAUCCAGCAAGUCCUUGAGAUUGGCAGCUUGUGUGUGUGUGUAUGCACUGCAGUAUAACUAUAAUCUUAAACCUUUAGUUAAAAUAUUAUAGGUUUCUACAACAUUUGCUAGCCUGUGAUUAUAUGCUUCAUUGACUGAUGCCUGGUCAUGCUCAGCUUUGCAUGACGUAUCUUUCCUUUCUGAGGGGUUUUUAUUUUGCCAUGGUCCUAGAGUUAAAGCCAGGUUCUUGGUCAUGAAGGGCAAAUUCUCUAUUACAGCUUCUGCUUCUAAUUAUGCUCAGCUCUAAGAAGUACUACAAACUCUCCUCCCCUCCCCUCCCCUCCCUCCCUCCCUCCCUCUCUCUCUCUCUCUCUCCUGUGUGUGUGUGUGUGUAUGUGUGUAUGUGUGUGUGUGUGUGUGUGUGUGUGUGUGUGUGUGAGAGAGAGAGAGAGAGAGAGAGAGAGAGAGAGAGAGAUAGAUUUCAGGGUCAUUUGUUCCUUGGAGAAUAUUAAUUUAAAACCUAUCCUUGGUUUACUGUGGUAUGAAAGCCCUUAGGUUCACAGAGAUCCCCUGCUUCUUAAACUGUGGGUCACAAUUGCAUACGGGGCCAUGGAACUGAAUAUGGGAAGCAUAAAAUGUUUGAGAGUUGUAAAAGGCUUCUGAAUUCACAGUGACCAAAACUAAUUUUGAAGUUAGCACAUAAUAAACCCAGGAGUUCCCAGCAGUGCUGGUCUGGCCUGCACCACAGGGCUUCUCUGAAGGCUUGGUUCUGAAGGCCAACAGGUACAGUUUUCCCUGUGUGCGCUGCCACCCACGUGCUGACACUAGGCUGCCUGCCGCACCUCAGCCCGGGUUCCGGGCCUGUGCAUGGUGUGGAUAGCUGUCAUUUUCUGUUCAGAUGGAAACAUUAAUUAUAGAAAAAAGGAUUUCCUAUUUCUCUACCAUUGUUCCUCAGCAUGUAAAUAUCGAUUAGUAUCCCUUUGGCCUGAAUUGUGUCUGAAUGUUUGAUUUUUGGAGUAAAACGUCAUGGUUCUGUUGUCUUCCUAACAGAGUUGGCUUAGAACAGGCUGAAUGGAACCCUCCUCAUUGGCUCCCACUUUAAAAUGCUGUCAGCUACUAACAGGCAGAUUCUCUCAGACACCAGCUCAACAGACUCAAGUCUCAGCCCAUUCUUCAUGAGCUCUGGGCGGGGCUAGGACAGGAUUUCCCGAGGCUUCUGAGAUGGCCCCAAGCAUACUUCUGGCAUUUUGUACUAUGUAUUUUUGUAAGCUGGUGUUUUCAACAUUGAUAAAUAUAAAAUCAAAAUAUCAGUCAACAAAGUUAUCUAUGUCCUAUAGUAUCAAAUGGCCAACGUUUAGCCCUUUUUUUGUAAAAGCAAACAUUGAUCCACUUAGUAUACAAAUUUGCUGUUGUCUUUAAUACAGUUAAAAUAUGCAUAUAUCAAAGAAUUGUUUUAAAUUCUCUUUGUGAUGAACUCUCAGUAAACGACUGACUUAUGCACCUAUUUUUCUUUACCUAUCGUGGGUAAAAAGUUUAAGUGGAAGGGUUUGUAACAUUUUUAGACCCAUCCUAUGGGGGACAGAAAUGCCAGACGUCAUGAAGCUAGGUGAGUUGCAGUGAUACUGAAUUUAAUAGUUUUUCACAUUUUCAGGGAUUCCAUUAGCUUUAUGGAUCUCUAUCAAGUCCUUCAAUAAGUAGCUUUCUACAUUUGAAGACAGACCAGCUCCCUUCCUCACCCACCAGAAUGGCUAGGAAGAAACUGUCAAGGAUAAACACUUGGAAUACUCAUAUCUUGGAAGGAGAAUAAAAUUAUACAAUCCCGUUGAAUGCCAAGUCUGACACUUAUGCACCCACUUAUAUAAACAUCUCUAUGACAAAAUAUUACCUUGGUAAGAAAAGACAUCUUAUCACAAAAGUAACUCAUUCAAGGAUGCUCAGAAAUGUCCAGGGCCAAAAACAGCCCAGGGCUCCAUUAUCAGGAAAAUAGACUGAAAGCCAAAAACAAACAAAAAAGCAAAACAAAACCCCCCAAACAAAUAGGAAGGUGUUAUUGGUACACACAGCCCAGGCGAGUCUCAGAAAGCUUCCGGUGAGCAAAAGAAGCCAGACAACAGACCACAGACUGGAUGACGUUCUAGGAAGCCUAUUAUUAAACAAUGUAGAAUAAGGCCUUCAGGGAGCUGGGAGGGAAGGGGUGCAGGGAAGGACUCUCAAGGGAAGGAACUUUUAAGAGGAUAACAUUUGAUUUUUCUCUUUGUUUUUGAUAAUAUGGGAGUUAGAGAUAUGUCCUUCAAACUCAAGGGAAAAUGUAAGAUUGUCCAUUUUCUACCUUAAAAGGUUAUUAAAUUCUAGUUAAUAUGCAUGCUGAUAGGACAUGCAGUAAGAUACACUGAUGUGUGCCCAAUACUUAAUAGUUGGCAAACAUAAAAAAAAUAAAAAAAUAGAAAAGGAGGCCAUGAAGGAUGGUUUCAAGACCUUAGGUGGAAAUAUGAUGGAGUCAUGUGUUAACUGUGGGACUGAGGUAGUGAGUGAGUGAAUGGGUAGUCACGUACAUGCCUUCCAAUUGUUUCAUUAAGAUACUUUUUAAAAAUUUAAACUUUACCCCCAUAUAUAUUUUUUCAUAAGAAAGUAUUGGGUGGUGCAUGCCUUUUAUCUCAGCACUCAGUAGUGGGGGAGGCAGAGGCAGAGGCAGAGGCAGAGGCAGAGGCAGAGGCAGAGGCAGAGGCAGAGGCAGAGGCAGAGGCAGAGGCAGAGGCAGAGGCAGAGGCAGAGGCAGAGGCAGAGGCAGAGGCAGAGGCAGAGGCAGAGGCAGAGGCAGAGGCAGAGGCAGAGGCAGAGGCAGAGGCAGAGGCAGAGGCAGGUGAAUUUCUGUGAGUUUGAGGCCAGUUUGGUCUACAUAGUGAGUUCCAGAACAGCCAGGGCUACGUAGCAAGACCCUGUCUCAAAGCAGCAACAACAAAAUAAUAAAAUAAAAUAGAAACCCCCCACUUCCCAUUGGCCUUACGGUCACUGACUAUAUAACCAGUCAGUGAGACUCACCCUUGGGGCCUGGCUCUGGCUAGUUCUCCAUGCACUGCUGAGCACAGCCAUGCUACCUUGAGCUCUGAGGUCUCUGCUGGGAAGUUCUCAAUCUGCUCUCUCGGCCUUACCUUGUCCUGCAGGUCUUGUUCAUGUGUGACUCCCAUCAGGAAUGUUUCAAUACUUCCUUCUCACUUUAGUCCCUCAUGGGGUCGUGAGGUCAAGGCCUUCAGUCAUGUGCUCUCAUUGGAUGUUUCUGAAUGACGUAAUACAGCCUGUGCCCUUGCAUCUGUGACUAAUCUGUCCCCAGCUUCUUGGAUGGAGGUUAUACCUAACUUGAUUACUACUGUGUACCCAUUGCUAACAACAUCUGCGGCUGCACAUAGUGGCCACUAAAUAUGCAAUGAAUCCAUACGAGACCGAGUUAACUGGGGUCCUUACCAGUGGUAAAGGCAUCACUUUUAAUGAUUUGGCCAUCACAUUAAUCUUUGCUAAUUAUGUAUAAUACUUCUGUCACUAAAGUUACUAGUACAUAAAGUUUCACAGUAAAACACAGAUAAAGCAAUUUUUAUAAAAUGUCACUUUUAAAAGUGAGAAGCAAAUACAGAGAACAAUAUGCCCCUUUUCUCUGAUAAUGCCAAAUGUUAUAAAGGAGACAAAUGAAGGCCACCAGAUACCAGAGCUCAUGCUCAGCCCUGUCUGGGCUCCCUGAGCCUCUGAGAGCAUCUCUGUAACACAUCGUACCAUGGCUCUCAUCAUAUAAUGAACAGCUUUAAAACAAACAAACAAACAAACAAACAAACAAACUAAAAGAGUGCUUACAUCUAUCCACACAUCUUUAAUAACAUGGGAAGUGACAGCAAUUCUUCUUGGUUGUUGUCCUACUUUGGUUCUUCCAUCGCUAGGAUAAAACUUGUGGUGGCCACUAAAUGGGCGAUGACCACAGAGGCACACUAAUUAUUGGCUUAUUCCUCAUGGUCCCCUCAGACUGCUUUCUUAUACAAUCCGGGAUUACAUGCCCAGAAAUGGCUCCACUCACAAUAGGCUGGGCAUUCCCACAUCAGUCAUUAAUCAAGAAAAUGCCUUAUAGACAUACACACACCUCCCAGGUCUAUCUCUAGAAAUACCACCCAAACUGAUAGAAAUCAGAUUUGACCAGGGAAGACCCCCUGAAGAUCCUGACUAUAGAUAGUGAGGAGAAAAUCAGAAGAUUCGAACAAAGAGGUGAUAGAUUGCUGGUCCCUCUAUUUGGGAGCCAUUCUAAAACUGACUAUGACAUAAAAAUGUCUCCAGUCAAAACUUCAUGCAUGGACAAUAAAUCUUGUUGGCUACAGAAUGCUCGUGACUUAGAUUACAUGCUACCAUUACAGAUGGCAUGAAUGGAGACUUACAUUGCAGUUUGGCUAUAUAAUCAAACUAGAACAUAAUAUAUACAAUCAAACAGAAAGAUAGAUGUCUUUCUUUCUCAGAGAGUAGACAAAUCAUUCUUAAUUAAUCUGUACACCUUGCACAUUCCAUACAAAUGUUUUUAUAAAACUUUCUAUUGCUUGUAGAGGUUUAUGUGUUAUAGAAUGGACCCCCCCCCCCCCACACACACACACAGAGCAGCCCUGAGAAGAUCCAUCUUCAGGGAUGGUGAGACGCCUGCACUACCUCCAACUGCCUCAAUGUUGUUUCCUCAAAAGACUCGCUUCCAGAACAACUCCAAAGAACGUUGCUGAUCUCACUUCACCCAGCCAUACAGACUGAUCCAGUCAGGACUUCACUUAACCUGAACUUUCACAGCAUCCAGAGACUGGACAACAAAUAGCAGCUAGCUUUCUUUUGAUGUAACCAUUUUCCCAAUUUCCUUGGGUCCCCCAAAAAGGAAUUCUAUGUCCAAUGUUAGCAGGAGGCAAUCAUAAGAAGCCUGUCAUCCUAGUCCCUUAAGAGGGGGUGGAUGGCUUUGGUAAUUUUAUGAAUUAUAGCUAUGUUGUCAUUUAAGGGGAUGGUUACAAAUAGUCAUGGUCUUGGACUGGAAAUUUAAAGGACUCCUAUUUAAUUUCUUUUCUAAAGAAAUUAAAUAGGGAGUUUAGACUCAGGGAUUUCCAUCCCUCUUUUCCUUUUCUAUACCCUUCUUUCUCAGAUAAAGCUAAGGGAUUUGAGAAGAAAAAUGGGGAAUAUAGAAAUAUCAUAAAAUAAUAAGAUAAAGGAUAGAUUACUAAAUAUACUCUUUAACUUUGAGCUAUUGUUAUUCUCAAUUCUGUUAUUUUGUUACAUUGGUAUAAAAUGCUGUAUAUUUCUAUAGGUUUAAGGAUUUCAUUGGUAAAUCUGGUAAAUUUAAGGUUAAUUUUGUUACAAUAUAAUAUAUGUAUUUUUAACUUGUAUAUAGGUAUUGUGCCUUGUGGCUCAUUUGAAAAUGCAAGGUUUCAUCCCAGCCCUUUUAGUAGCUGCUAUUGCAAACUAUUAGAGAUGGUUAAGAAAUACAAGUUAAUAAGACAGUCAAAGUCAUGGCCAUGUCAGAUAUUAGUCUAUAUCAUCAGAGAAAUAUGCAUCCUGGAUUGGACAGGUAUCUGAAGACCGCAAUAUUUGCUUGUUCAGAUAUGCUAUGAAUAGAUAAAUAUCCUAUGAAUAGAUAGUCCUCAGAGACUUAAAGAAUAUAUCAUUUAAAGAUUUUUUAUUAUUAAUUUAAGGCUUUUUUUUUGACAUUGAGACAUGUCAGCUCCUAGCAGAACCCCAUUCGACUUGGAAGAAGAUGAUGAGCAUUGAAGGAGCUGUAUUUGGAGAUGGCUUCAUUUGUGGCAAGCUCCUCAAUGGGCAAAGAAAUGCUCUAACUUCAUCUGCAAACAGAAUGCUCUCCAGAAAGGACAAACAACACAGGGGAGUCAACUGCCAAGUCUGCCAAGACAGGGUUUGCAGACAGUGGGGCUACUGUGCUGAAGAUAUGCCAGAGGAUUCCAUUCAGAAUUCUUGCCCCAAAACAGAAAUGGCAUACUUCAUGUUAUAGCUGUCCAGGUACCACUUUAUUUGGGACCACUGGGUUGGGACUCCUAUCUGCUCUGACAGUGCUUAUUGGGGCUAUGUGUCUAGCCUUCAUCACUAGAGGUCUCCAUGAGACAUGCCCAUGACAAGGCGGGGACUCUGACUCUACACGGGAGAGAAGACAGUGAAUAUAAAUCCAGGGGACUGUUCACCACCCUACAACAAAACUGCCAGCAGAGGGACCCAGCAUCUAAUCCUCACAUAUGUGGCAGUGUUUCUUGAAGAUUGGCUGUGAAAGAUUGGCUAUGCCUUUUGGUAACAGCUUUAAUGUCUAAAAUGUCAUACUACUGUGCAACUUCUCAAGAAUUAGCGACCCCAGCGUGGAGAGAAUAUGUGUGAGAGUAUAUGGCACGUGACACCUCCAGGCAGCUUGUGAUCCUACUGAUGUGUCACGGAGGGAGGAGACCAAGGCUGAAUGGUUACAGCAUUUGCUCACAUGCACAAAACUAGCCAGAGAGCGGGAAGGACAGAGCAAAUGUACAGAAUGCCUCUUCCCCAAUCUUCAGUACUCAGAAAUAGCACUUGAUAUUUUUCUGUUAACUUAUGUAAAACAUGUAUGUUUAUGGAAACAAUAAUUACAUUGUCUGGUGAAGUUUUAUAUAUAUAUAUGUAUAUGUAUGUGUUUAUAUAUAUGUGUGUGUAUGUAUAUAUAUACAUAUGUAUAUUUAUACAUAUAUAUUAAUGGAUAGGUAUAUAGGCAACAAUGAGGUCUUAUAACACAAAGGCUUUGUGUUCCACAUGAUCUGCUUAGACUAUUAAGAACACUGCUAGAAGUUAUGGUAAUCCUAGGUAAUUCUUAAUAUCUGCAUUACUAAAAAUAGCAGAUGUAACCAAAAAUCCAAAAGACUAAAGAAUGCCAUUUUAAAAAUUGUUCAAAUAAUGUAAAAUAAAAUCUAUAUAAAGGAAUAGAAAAGUGCAAACAGAAGAAGAAUAUAAAAAAAAUGUAAAAUGGCAGACUUGUUCCUGACUACACUGAUAAGUACAUUAAAUGUUAAUGGCCAAAGACUCCAGUUAAAAUGCAGAGACCUAUCAUAACUGAUAAAACAUCAGAAUCCAGCAUGAUUUGAAAGUAUAGGGAUGGAAAAGGUGAUGUAAACAAAUAUGCUGAAGAUUACUAGAGUGGCUGGUUUAAUAUCAAAUAAAGUGGAUUAUAAGAUAAAGUACCACUAGAUAUUAAGAAUAACAUUUACAAUGAUAAAAUAAUUAAUUAAUCAGAAAUAUAUAACCAUAAUAAAUGUGGUGAUAAUAAAUGAAGCCCUUAGAAACAAAGCCUCAAAAUAUAUCAAACAACAACUACAGGAAUUAUAUGAAGAAAUAGAUAAUAUCUUAAUGUUCCUCUUUUAUCAUUUGUUAGAAUUAGAAAAGAAUCAGCAAAAAAAAUAGGUGAUAUGAAGAAUAUGGUAAUCACUUUGAUCUAAUUGAGAUUGAUAAGAUAUUCUACAUAACAAAAGAACAUAGCCUUUUCAAAUGAGUUUCUUUCAAAAUACUGACUAGAAAAAAACCUUUAUUUGGCCCAAAGAAAACGAUUCCAAUACAUUUUAAGUGGACUAAAACAAUACAAAGCAUGUUCUCUGACAAUAAAUGGAAAUAAAUUAGAAAUUGUCGAGAAAAUAAUAUCUAGAAAACCUUUCAAACCCCAAUCAAAACUUCUAAAUAGUUCAUGGACCAAAGAAGAAAUUAAAAGGAAAUUAUAAAAUAUAUUGAACUGAAAGAAAACAAGAAGUUGAGUCCCUUCAUGACACUGAAUACUCGGUUCUUCCCAAUGCUGGAGAGAGGAAUGGGGAUAGGAUGGCCAGGAUUGCUCCUAACUUCACCUGUGCUAUCGUUCCCUUCCCGACCUUCUCACUGUAAUAAAACAGUACCACUGCCAUGGAUUCUGAUUCUUUCAAAUGGACCAUAAAACAAAUGGGUAGCCUUGGAGGCUCACAAAAAAAACGUAGCUACAUUUCUGGGAUGUACACAAAGCAGUCAUUUUAGAGAGAAGGCAAAACUCAAAAGAAAUGGAGAACUAUGACCCAGCUCAUAGCCUGGAAGAGUCAAUACUGCUUAAUAGUGCUUUGUUUUCUAACUGUUCUACAGCUUCAAUACAUGCUUGGGGGGGGGGGGUAAGGUAAAGAUUGUUAAUAUAAUUCUAAAAUUUAUAUAGAAAUACAAAGAACACAGGAAACCAAGCCAGUGGAAGAACUUAUAACACAUGACUUUGAGUCUUGCAAUAGUUAAGAAAGUAUGCAAUUGGUGCAUAGAUUCACAAAUUGAGCAGUACAGUGGAAGAGUCUAGAGGUGGAAUGCAUUAUGCAAUUAUUUGCUAAAGAUGUCAAAGUAACUCAGUGAGGAAAAUACUUCCAAUAAAUGCUUGAGCUUCAAUAAUCAGAUAUCUUUAUAGGCAGAUAUUAAGCUUAUCUCAUGUGACACCAUGAAAGUAAUUAUAGAUGCAAUGUAUAAUUAAAUGUAAAUAUAAACCACAGGAAGUGGUACUUGUCAAACAUUGACAUAAUAAAGUUAAAAACUGUUUAUUGGGCUGGAGAGAUGUCUCAGAAGUUAAAAGCACUGGUUGCCUUUCCAGAGGUCCUGAAUUCAAUUCCCAGCAACCACAUGGUGGCUCACAACCAUCAGUAAGGUGAUCUGAUGCCCUCUUCUGGCAUGCAGGUGUAUGUGCAGAUAGAACACUCAUACAUUCAAUAAGUCUUUAGAAAACUGUUCCUCAAAAGAUUUUUAAAUGAAUUAAAGAAAGAAUAGAGAAAAACAUAAACAUAUCUGGCAGUGGACUGAUGUAUAAUGUAGCAAUAAUAUAGUUGUCAAUAAUAAAGAUAACCCAAUAGAAAUGCCAAAGGCCUUCAAUUGACACCUUACAACACAUGAAAACUUCUCAGCCACUAGUCAUCAAUGUGUGCACAUUAUCGGGGACUCUACAGAGACAGACUUACAUACUAAAACCUACACAUCUCCUGAAUGGCUAAAAUCCCUUGCAGCCACACUGACCCUUGACAAAAGUGUGCAUGGCCUCUCCUGCUCACUGUUUUGGGGAUUGUCAAAUGAUAGAACUUCCUGGGGGAGAGAAUUAGCAGAUGCUGACAAAGCAGACAUACACCUAAUCUGUGACUCAGUGAGUCUCCUACUGUUCCUAAAGGAAAUGAAAUUAUUUAAAAUAGAGCAUGUAGAAGAAUGUUCAUAGCAGGUUUAUUCAUAAUAGCCCAAGAACAAAUAUAGUUCAGGUGCUUACCAAUAAAACAACAGAUAAACAACUACCAUAUAUUCACCCAAAAGAAUACUAUGCAGUGACUAAAAACUAUGGAACCCAUACACCAAAAAAAUAGGUCUUAAAAACAAACCAAAAAUGCUUUACAUAAUAGAUGAAAUUCUUAACAAAACUAAUUUAUGCUAGGGUGGACGGGAGGCCAGACAGAUGAGGGGCAGAGAUCAAUGGGGGCAUUUUAGCCUGCCAGUGAUGUGCGCUGUCUUGUGAGAGGUUGGGUCACUCAGGUGUACACUUUGACAGGGGCUAUGCAGAAGCAUCCUUACAAUGUGGUGAUUCCCUUAUAUGUUUGGGCCCCCCAAAAGUCAGGCAUUCACUGUAAAGCAGAUAUUUCUUAGGGGAAACUAAGUCAUUCUCUCCAGCCAUGUUCUAGUACUGGAACUAAACAAAACCCAGGCAUGGAAGCAAGUGUUCCUCUUAUCUUGUUUUGAAUACAUAUAGGGGAAUCUGGGCCUCAGACUAACAUGGAUCGACCUGUUGGAGUAGAGGCUCUGGAGAGAGGGAAUAGGAAACUAUGUCACAGGAGGGCCAAGGGGCCAUAUGCUGAGUUCAAGACACCUGGACAGACCUCAGAGGCCACAGGGGCCAUCUUAACCUUUAAAGAAAAAAAGCAAACGGUCUAAGUGUCAAGUUGAAGAGGUGACACUGAAUGGGAAUGGUACCCCAGGGAAGAGGUGAACCUUCAUUUUAGUUCAGUGGUUCUCAAUACAUGUGCCAAGACCCCCUUUGGGGCCACUUAUCAAAAUAUCUUGCAUAUCAGAUAUUUACAUUAUAAUUCAUAACAGUAGCAAAAUUAUAGUAAUGAAGUAACAGUGAAAUCAUUUUAUGGUUAGGGGUCACCACAACAUGGGGAACUUUAUUAAAGGGUCGCAUUAGGAAGGCUGAGAAGCACUGUUCUAGCCCAAGAGUUGUGGAGAAAACAGGGAUUCUUUUGGCAGAGACAUGUAGGUGCCAGAGUCCAAACAAGGAGCCACAUUCCAUCUGAAAAUGCUGCUACUGAAGGCAGUGUUAAAAGUCAAAUUACCCAGGAACCGAAGUGACUUCCAUACCUGAAGUUCUGUCAGAAGCCAUUUAGGAAAGACUGAGGAAAGCAAGUGGGCUUUUCUGGAGCUGGCCCACCAUCUUGCAUGGCCUGUGAUGGGUGAACUUUGAGGCAAGGCCCCAAGAGACUUCAUCCCAGGAUUGCUUCUUGUUAUUACUAUGCCUUUUCUGUCACUGUUAAAUAGUCUAAUGAUUCAUGGGCACUAGCCCACCAUAUCGGGCAGAUUUUCUGCACAUCAACAAAGAUGUACUCUUUUAUAACAAUGCUAUGUAGACAAAUUGCUGAUUUCAUAAUUCCUAAUGAUAUUCGAUAGAAUUCCUAAAUUCAUACUAGUCAUUUCGAGCUGCAAUUAGAGCAUUGUUAACCUUCAUGUGCCACAGGCUAAUUGCACUAGGAUAGAAAGCAGACUUGGAACAAAUUUAUGAUCAGGAAAACCAUUCCUUCUGGGUUAGCUAUGAGACCACUAUCUAGUAACUAAAGGUCAUAAACUGGGAAUGGAUAAUUUAUUGUAGGUGCAAGGACAAAAAUAAAUAAAUAAAAUAUUGACUAGUUUAUCUGUAUAAAACUUCAACAGUAAUGAGACACAAGGCAGAUGGUUUGAUUUUUGACAAAAUGAUGCUGACCUGUAACAAGAAUUAUUGCUUUAAACUUAUAAUGAGCUUAUGGAUCUAGAAGAGAGAUAUUGUUUAAUCAGGCACUAGUCUUAAUGGAAACACAUGUAAACAUCUCUGCUGUAACUCCUUAUUUAAUUUAUGACUUGAAUUAAACCUGCUAUGAACUUAUGGAAUGUAAAGAUGCUUGGGAAACCAUGUGAUCAAGGAUCCUGAGAAGGCCUACGAAGGACCACGGGAAGAGCCUUUUAUUUUUCCCUCUCUCUCUGGAAUAAAGUUUUGAGCCUCUUUUUUUCA
Long non-coding RNA from Mus musculus (house mouse), 16568 nucleotides. RefSeq annotates it as predicted gene, 41025. The record is from RefSeq and is a predicted model, not a curated record. The transcript is spliced from 2 exons. Lineage: Eukaryota; Metazoa; Chordata; Mammalia; Rodentia; Muridae.